ACUGUUUUGCCUCAGAUCACCAGGCAUUAGUUGCUCAACCUAGAUCCUGUGCAUGCACAGCUCACAAUAGGCGUCAAGCUCCCGUGCGAUUCUAAUACCACCACGGAUCUAACAAGAGGUGGGACUCAGGUGGAAAUGCUCUCUCAUUUGCUAUUCACCUCGUGCCGUGUGGCCAGGAUCCUAACAUGGCCUUGCAGGUUCCUUGAGGUUCUGAGGAAAAUGAUCCACAGUCUCCUGAGUCCUCCCUCCCAGCUGAGUUGGAGGCUGCCCCUGGCAGUAACCCUGGACUGGAAUGACUGGCUCAGGGGUCCCCAGCUGGCAUCUCCGACUGUCCCUCCAGAGCACCGGCUCCCUGGGCCUUCUGUUUCUCCUGUGCCAUCGCUGCCAUCGUGCCUCGGUGAUCAGGCAUCCCUGUAGCCCUCAUGCUGGGCUGCCUCCAGGCUCUGGCCAUCUCUCCUCUGGAUCGGGGAAAGAUGGAGCCUGUCCUGGGGGUGUUUUUUCUCUUAGGUCCUCUGGUUUACAAGGCUAGGUUUUUGGAGAUGGUAAAAUUAAAGGUCACUGUAAAUAUGGCCCAUCUGCUUUUUGGGUUCACCAGGCCAGACCCAGUGCUUCAGGUCUCCACCAUGAACUGUCGGACCGUGAGCUUCCUCAGAGAAAGCCUCUCCAAGGAGCACCCCCUGCUCUCCAAUGGGAAGACACGUUUUGGCGGCCAAGUUCCCAAGGAACACAGAAUUGAAGCACAAUGUUAUCAGCAUGGAAGAGGGGGGCCCUGGGUCCAUCAAAGGCAAAGAGAAAUGUCUGCAUGGACACUGGGCAUUAUCAACAACUCCCGCCACCCUCCCGCCUCCCCGCAGUCACCCAUCAUCCUCUGUGGAAAGGAGCUUUGUCUGGUCUGGCUGAUCUGCCUUAGCCCAGCCUGUGUCAACCCCCCUUGCCCAUCUUCUUUGGGGUAGCUUGGAGGUGGUGGGGAAGAAGUGGUGACACUUUUAUCCAGGUGUGGUAUGAGCUUAGACUUCGGUAGGUGAAUUUUUCUAAUCAUUCCUCCUUUCCUCCUCCACCCCGGCAUACACCAACUCCUUCAAAAUAAACCAAAUCGGGAAGAACAGCUCCCCAAAUAGAUCUUACCUGCUUGAAAACCCCUCACGUGUUUUCUAUCAUGGAAAACCCUGUUUUCUCCUCCCCCAGCACAGCCUGUAUUAAAAACCUGCUCUUGAUAACAAGCACUUUCAGGUUAGUCUACAGCCUAAGGUAGAUCACCUCUACGAGAGUAAAGAGAAGCAGACCAGCAUGGUGCAUUUAACCAAAACUUUGUAAAGUCUCCUUGUGUGGUCCAGUUAAACGUAUGUAUGAAACACUUAGAUUGCCAGCCUGGGCAACAUAGAGACUGUAUCUCUACAAAAAUGUAAAAACUAGCCGGACGUGAUGACUGGCACCUGUAGACCCAGAUACUCAGGAGGCUGAAGCAGAAGGGUCUCUUGAACCCAAGAGUUUGAGACUGCAUUGAGUGGUGGUGGCACCACUGCACUCCAGCCUGGGCAGGAGAGCAAGACCCUGGAAAAGAAAAGAGAAGAAGAAAGGAAAAGAAAAGGAAGAGAAAGAAAGAGAAACGCAUAGAUUGUGACACCUUACAUUUCAGCAACCAGGACGGGCUUGAUGUCAAAACACAAGAAAUAGCACAGAAUCUAUUUCUGCCCCAAAGGACCUUUUCCAAGUUGUACUCAGCCUGGAAAUUUUUGCCAACAUAAAUCUAAGGACAAGACAUUUCUUCCCAGACAUACAACACAGGUGAGACAGAUGGGAUGGUUGGCGUGGGGAAGCUCACAGAGCCUGGGGCUGGUUCGGGGUGCUGGGCUGCCAGCUUUGCAGAACUCACACCUCAGCAUGUACAUCUGCACAGACUUAUUCAGUAGAAUGUAAUGACCAGGGCAGCUAAUACUCCUGAACAUAGGGCCUGGAAGUUAUGACUUUGAGCAACUGUAGCCAGAGAGGAGAAGCCUCUUCUGUAUUGGAUUUGGAGCCUUAGGGGGGGGUGAGCCAUCUAGGACAGACUGGAGGGCGACAAGGAAGUGUGGGCACAGACAUCAGUGGAAUAAAAGAAGACACUGACAAUGGGAAGGGAUGAAACAUUCCCCACAGCCCCACCUGGCUAAGGUUUCACCAGCCAUUAGCGUGGGGGGCCUGGGAGUGAGUAGAGAAGACACAUUAUAUUUAUUUGUCUUUGUACAUUCAUGUGGAAGUUGAUGAUUUGAUGAGAGGUAUAUAGUUUAUUCUGUAGUGUAGGAUUGGCCACAGGAGUAUAAUUUAAUUAGGGCUGCUCUGCAUAAUGAUUUGCUUAAUUUGAAGUCCAUUCCUCCCCCUGGCAGGGAAGUCUCUAGGCCUCUGACGGUAAACGGGAAACUAGGUCAUCUAUGGAUGAUAUAGAAUGUAGACUAGCCAGGUGCAAGGAUGCACACCUGUAUCCCAGCUACUUGGGAGACUGAGGCAGAAGGAUCACUUGAGCCCAGGAGUUCAAGGUCAGCCUGGGCACAUGGUGAAACUCUCUAUAAAGAAAAGAAUGUAGAGCACAUGAGCAAUGAAUGCCUACCUAGGGCUUCAGCCGGGCGUAGCUCCAGAGCCGAUAUGCUGUCAGGCAUGCCAGACCUGUCGCUCUCCUUGUGGCCUCUGCAUGGCUGCAUGCGAACAGGAGAGCUGGAUUUCAAACUAUGAAUCAUUUUCAGCGUCAAGCCUAGGGUGCCAGUAAUUUCACUUCUGGGCUUAUUUCCCCACAGCAGAGCAGGACAGCUUGUUGUGGAGCAGGAGAUCCUUGCUCCACCCACAGAGGAAUAUCCUAGAGACAGCUGACAGUCUGCGUUUGGGAAUGCUGACAGCGCUGGCCCAAAGGAAUGCUUAUCUGUAUAUGCACUCAACAAAGAAGAGUAGAAGACGCUCAGUGAAACUCCAGGGGUACUAGGAAGGGGGUGAGGCUUAUGUAAAAUAGAAAACCGCAGCUGAACAAAUAGCAGUAAUAAGAAAAAGGUGGGUGGUGGGGAAAGAAAUGGAAUAUUUUUGGUUACAGCUGCAUUUUCAUGUUAACAGUUUGUGAAAUGUGGUUCAGAAAAGGGAAUUGGACAUGAUUUAAAAGGAAACUAGUCAAUAGAAAAAUAGCGUGUGGGAGGUUUAUAAAAUAAUUUUUUAAAUUAAUGUAUUUGUUUUUCUGCUGUAACAAAUUACUACAAGCUUAGUGGCUUAAAGCAAGGCUAAUUUGGCCAGGUGUGGUGGCUCAUGCCUGUAAUCCUAGCACUUUGGGAGGCCAAAGUGGGUGGCUCACAAAAUCAGAAGAUCAAGAGUAUCCUGGCUUACACAGUGAAACCCUGUCUCUACUAAAAAAAAAAUACAAAAACAUUAGCCGGGUGUGGUGGCACGUACCUGUAGUCCCAGCUACUCAGGAGGCUGAGGCAGGAGAAUCACUUGAACCCAGGAGGAGGAGGUAGCAGUAAGCCGAGAUCAUGCCACUGCAUUCCAGGCUGGGCAACAGAGUGAGACUUCAUCUCAAAGAAAAAAAACACAAAAAACAAAAACCAAUGCUAAUUUAUCCUACACUUUUGGAGGUCAGAAGUCCAAAAUUGUUCUUAAAAUCAAGGUGUCAGUAGGGAUGUGUAUUAGUCCGUUCUUGCAUUGCUAUAAAUAAACAGCUGAGACUGGAUAAUUAAUUUAUAAAGAAAAGAGGUUUAAUUGGCUCAUGGCUCAGCAGGCUGUACAGGAAGUAUUGCACCAGAAGUAUCUGCUUCUGGGGAGGCCUCAGAAAACUUACAAUCAUGGCAGGAGGUAAAGGGGGAGCAGGCAUCUCCCAUGGUGAAAGUGGGAGCUAGAGAGAGAGGUCAGGGCGGGGGAAUGCCAUACUUUAUAACAACCAGAUCUUGAGAGAAUUCACUCACUAUCCCUAGGACAGCAUAAAGCCAUGAGGGAUCAGCCCCAAUGGCCCAAACACCUCCCACCAGGCCCCACCUCCAACACUGGGGAUGACAAUUCAACAUGAGAUUUGGGUGGGGGCAAAUGUCCAAAUUAUAUCAUACUACCCCAGCCUCUGCCAAAUCUCAUGUCCUUCUCACAUUGCAAAAUAUAAUCGUGCCUUCCCAGCAGUCCCCCAAAGUCUUAAAUCAUUCCAGCAUUAACUCAGAAAUCCCAAGGCCAAGUCCAAAGUCUUAUCUGAAGAUGUGUCCCUUCCACCUAUGAGCCUGUAAAAUCAAAUAAGUUAUUUACUUCCAAUAUAAAAUGGGGGUACAGGUGUUUGAUAAGCAUUCCAAUUCCAAAAGGGAGAAAUUGGCCAAAAGAAAGGGGUUACAGACCCCAUGAAGGUUUGAAACCCAGCAGGGCAGUCAUUAAACCUUAAAGCUCCAAAAUAAUACUUGACUCCAUGCUCCACAUUCAAGGAACACUGGUGCAAGGGGUAGGCUCCCAAGGCCUUGGGCAGCUAGCUCCUAUGGCUUUGCAGGGUUCAAUGCCUAAGGCUUCUUUCAUGGGUUGGAGCAUGCCUGCAGCUUUUCUAGGCACAGAGUGCAAUCUUCUGGUAUAUCUACCAUUCUGGGGUCUGGAGGAUGGUGGCCCCCUUCUCACAGCUCUACUAGUCAGUGGCCCAAUGGGGACUCUGUAUGUGCUGCCUUAGUAGAGGUUCUCUAUAAGGGCUCCACCUCUGUAGCAGGCUUCUGCCUGGACACCCAGAUUUUCUCAUACACUCCCUGAAAUCUAGGUGGAGGACGCCAAGCCUCUUUUACUCUUGCACUCUGCACAGCCACAGGCUUAAUGUCUUGUGGGAGCAGCCAAGGCUUACAGCUUGCACCCUCUGAAAUGGUAGCCUGAGCUGUACUUGGUCCCCUUUGAGCCAUGGCUUGAAGGGGAGCAGCUGGAAUGUGGGAAACAGUGUCCCAAGGCUGGGCAGUGGGGCUCUGGGCCUGAUCCAGAAGCCAUUAUUCCCUCCUAAGGCUCAGUGCCUGUGAUGGGAAGGGCUGCCUCAGAGGUCUCUGGAAUGCGUUUGAGGCCUUUUUCACACUGUCUUGGUUAUCUAUCAGCACCUGGCUCUUUAUUAGAUAUUCAAAUCUUGCGAGCAAAUGGUUGCCCAAUGGCCUGCUUGAAUUCCUCUUCUGAUAAUGCUUUUUCUUUCUCUACCAUAAGGCCAGGUUGCAAAUUUUUCAGACUUUCAUACUCUGCUUUCCUGUUAAUUAUGAAUUCCAAAUUGAAGUCAUUUCCUUGCUUCCACAUCUGGGCAUCUGUUGAAAGCAGACAGGCCGCAUCCUGAGUGCUUCGCUGCUUAGAAACUUCUUCUGCCAGACACGUAAAUCAUCACUUUCAAGUUCAAACUGUCACGGAUCCCAGGACACGAACACAUUGCAGCCGAGCUCUUUGCUAAGGCAUAACAUGCAUGAUCUCUGCUCCAGUUCCUGAUAAGUCCCUCAUUUCUGUGUGAGACUUCACCAGCCUAUCUUUCACUGUCCAUAUUCUAACAGGAUUUGAUCACAACCAUUUGACCAGUUUCUAAGAAAUUUCAAACUUUCCCUCAGCUUCCUGUCUUCUGAGCCCUCCAAACUCCUACAACCUCUGCCCAUUACCCAAUUCCAAAGCCACUUCCACAUUUUUACAUGUUUUUAUAGCAAUGCCCCACUCCUCAGUACCAAUUUUCCGUAUUAGUCUGUUUUUGCAUUGCUAUAAAGAAACACAUAAGACUGGGUAAUUUAUCAAGAAAAGAGGUUUAAUUGGCUCAUGGUUCUGCAGGAUGUACAGGAAGCAUUGUGCCAGCAUCUGCUUCUGGGGAGGCCUCAGGGAGCUUCCAAUCAUGCCAGAAGGCAAAGCGGGAACAGGCAGGAGUGGAAGUGAGAGAGAAAGUGGGGAGAAAGAAGGUGCCACACCUUACAACAACCAGAUCUCUGGAGAACUCUCUUGCUAGGAAAGCACUGAGCUGUGAGGGAUCCGCCUCAUGACCCAAACACCUCCCACCAGGCCCCACCUCCAACAUUGAGGAGUACACCUCACCAUGAGAUUUGGGUGGGGACAAAUAACCAAACCAUAUCAGGCUGUGUCACUUCUGGAGGCGCUAGGGGAGAACCCUUUUUCUGCCUUUUCUAUGUUUCAGAGGCUGCUCACGUUACUUGACUCAUGGCCACUUCCUCCAUCUUCAAAGCCAACAGGGUAACAUCUCCCAAUAAUUAUCUCUCCUUCCAUCAUCAAAUCUCUGACUCCUCUUCCUCCCUCUUACAAGGAUUCUUGUGAUUACAUCAGACACAUCUAGAUAAUUCAGGAUAAUCGCCGAAUCUCAAGAUCCCGAGUUUUGCGGGGUGCAGUGGCUCACACUUGUAAUCCCAGCACUUUGGAAGUCUGAGGCAGGAGGAUCACUUGAGCCCAGGAGUUCAAGACCAGCCUGGGCAACACAGUGAGACCUAGUCAACAGCAACAAAAAAUUAAUAAUAAAAUAAGAGGCCAGCUGUGGUGGCUUAUGCCUAUAAUCCCAGCACUUUGGGAAGCUAAGGCUGGAGAAGAAUUUGAUCCCAGGAGUUCAAGACCUCAAGACCACCGUAGGGAACAUAGUGAGACAUUGUCUCUACAAAAAAUUAAAAUAAAAUAAAAUAAAAUUAGCUGAGUGUCGUGGCUCACACCUGCAGUUCCAGCUACUCAGGUGGCUGGGGUGGGAGAAUUUCUUGAGUCUGGGAGGUAAAUAGAGCUAAUCAUCAUGGCUCACUAGCCACGAUGGCUCCACUGCACUCCAGCUUGGGUGAAAGAGUGAGACCCUGUCUCAAAAAAGAAAAAAAAAAAAGAAAAGGAUCCUUAACCUAAUUAUAUAUGCAAAAUUCCUUUUGUGAUGUAAGGAACAUAUUCUAGGAACAUUUGGAUGGAGGAGGGAGUGAUUUUUGCCACCACAACAUUGUAAAUGAUUAUCUUUUUUUAAAGACCUAAUUUUGGAAUAAUUUUAGAUUUACAGAGUCCAAAGAUUUGUCUUUUUGAACCAUUUUUUCAUCUAUGAUUCCAGUUAUACAAAUGUUUUCAAAUUAAAAAUUAUUUGAAAACCAUCUGUGAAAGUACUUUGAGUUCUUUGGAAGAAAGAUGCUGUUUAGUGCAAGUCGUUUGUGAUACCACUGACCUCCUUAAGAGGAAAACCAUGCAGUUUAUUCCUGGGAGCCAUCAGCCUCUUCUUAUCCUGGGGCUGAUUCCUUAGGAGGCACACCUAAGCCUCACGACCAUCACUGCCCCAUACAAGCAGGCGAAGUUACUUCUCUCUACCUAUUGGGAAACACAUUAUACUCCAGAAAGUCCUUUUCUGUGUCAUUUCAUCCCCACUUUCCUCAGUUGUUACCUUAGGCACUUCUAGGCACUUGCCACCUGUAAGUGACCAAGCAGGUGGCAACUGGGAACCUGAGUCACCUGUGUCCCAGGCCUGUGAACCAGCCAUCUUUAGGGAUGCUUUCCAGAUGCUUAGGGAGCACAGAGCUCUCUUUAGCCAGGUCCUGAGAACCUUCCUCUUCCUUUUGCUACUGGUUGUGGCUCUGAAAUCAGAGCUAGCUCUAUUAGUGAUUUGAGGAUACUUGUUGGCAUAAUGUCUUCCAAACCCAGGUGUGCACUGGAAUCAUCUAUUGUGCUUUCUCAAAAACACACAUCCUGUGAAAUGUUUUAUUGCACAAAAAGGCAAGGAAUUACACAGAGACUGAUAGGGAUAUGUCAAAAGGACACAACCAGCUUGAAAGCUAAAUCUGGGACAACUUGAGCACGAAAAUAAGUAGGGAUAGUAAUGAAUUGUAAAGCAUUGAAUAAAAUAAGAAGGUAUGACGUCACACUUACUACCUAAACAAACAAGUGAAUAAACACGCAAAUGUUCUUGCUAAAUAAAAGUGCAUAUCAGAGAGUCACCUCUUAACAUAGGUCUGGAAUGAGACCUAUUGAGGUAGAGUUUUAGGAGGUGAAUGUUUUUAUUUCUAUUUUCUUCUUUCUUCUUUUUUUUUAGGCAGUGUCUCAUUCUGUCACCCAGUCAGGAGUUCAGUGGCAUAAUCAUGGCUCACUGCAGCCACGACCUCCCAGGCUCAAGAAAUCCUCCUGCCUCCGCCUCCUGAGUAGCUGAGACUAGAGGUGCACACCACUGUGUCUGGCUAAUUUUUUAACUUUUUUGUAGAGACAGGGUCUCGCCAUGUUGCCCAGGCUUGUCUCAAACUCCUGAGCUCAAUCAAGCAAUCCUCCCCACUAGGCCUCCCAAAGUGCUGUGAUGACUGGUGUGAGCCACUGCAUCUGGCCUGGAUUUCUUAAAAAGCCAGUCACUGUGUCCCAGACCUGUGAACCAGCCAUCUUUAGGGAUGCUUUCCGGAGGCUUAGGGAGCAUGUGGAGGGUUCUGGCAAGAUGGCCAAAUAGGAACAGCUCCAGCUUGCAGCUCCCAGUGAGAUCAACACAGAAGGUGGGUAAUUUCUGCAUUUCCAGCUGAGGUAUCUGGCUCAUCUCAAUGGGACUGGUAAGAGAGUGGGUGCAGCCCAUAGAGGGUGAGCUGAAGCAGGGUGGGGCAUUGCCUCACCUGGAAAGCAUAAGGGGUUGGGGGAUUCCCUCUCCUAGUAAAGGAAAGCCUGGAGGGACAUUGCCAUGAGGAGCAGUGCUCUCUAAUCCAGAUGCCAUGCUUUUCCCAUGGUCUUCACAACCCACAGACUAGGAGAUUCCCUUAGGCGCCUACACCACCAGGGCCCUGGGUUUCAAGCCAAAACUGGGUGGCCAUUUGGGCAGACACUGAGCUAGCUGUAGGAGCUUUUUUUCAAUACCCCAGUGGUGUCUGGAAUGCCAGUGAGACAGAAGCGUUCAUUACCCUUGAAAGAAGGCUGAAGCCAGGAAGCCAAGUGGUCUAGCUCAGCAGAUCCCACCCCAUGCCAGCAAGCUAAGAUCCACUGGCUUGAAAAUCUCACUGCCAACACAGCAGUCUGAAGUCAACCUGAGAUGCUUGAGUUUGAUCGGAGGAGGACAUCUACCAUUACUGAGGCUUGAGUAGGUGGUUUUCCCCUCACAGUGUAAAAAAAGCCAGAAGUUCAGACUGGGUGAAGCCCACCUCAGAACCACAAAGUUUCUGUAGCCAGACUGCCUCUCUAGAUUCCUAUUCUCUGGGCAGGCCAUCUCUGAAAGAAAGGCAGCAGCCCCAAUUUGGGGCUUAUGGAUAAAACUCCCAUCUCCCUGAGACAGAACAACUAGGGGAAAGGGCUUCAGCAGACUUAAACAUUCCUGCCUGCUGGCUCUAAAGAGAGCAACAGAUCUCCCUGCACAGUGCUCAAGCUCUACUAAGGGACGGACUGCCUUCUCAAGUGGGUCCCUGACCUCCAUGCCUCCUGACUAGGAGAUGCCUCCCAGCAGAGGUCAACAAAUGCAUCAUACAGGAGAACUCCAGUUGGCAUAUGGCAGGUGACCCUCUGGGAUGGAGCUUCCAGAGAAAAAAACAGGCAGCAAUCUUUGCUGUUCUGCAGCCUCCACUGGUGAUUCCCAGGCAAACAGGGUCUGGAGUGGACCUCCAGAAAACUCCAGCUGACCUGCAGCAGAGGGGCCUGAUUGUUAGAAGGAAAACUAACAAACAGAAAGGAAUAGCAUCAACAUCAACAAGAAGGGCAUCCAAACAGAAACCCCAUAUGAAGGUCACCAACAUCAAAGACCAAAGGUAGACAAAUCCACAAAGAUGAGGAAAAACCAGUGCAAAAAGUUUGAAAAUUCCAAAAGCCAGAACACUUUUUCUACAAAGGAUCACAACACCUCGCCAGCAAGGGAACAAAACUGGAUGGAGAAUGAGUUUGACAAAUUGACAGAAGCAAACUCCUCCAAGCUAGCAUCCUCCAGGGAGCAUGUUCUAACCCAAUGGAAGAAAACUAAGAACCUUGAAAAAAGGUUAGAGGAAUUGCUACCUAGAAUAACCAAUUCAGAGAAGAACAUAAUUGACUUGAUGGCGGGGGAGGUGAAAAACACAGCAUGAGAACUUUGUGAAACAUACACAAGCAUCAAUAGCUGAAUUGAUCAAGUGGAAGAAAGAGAUUGAAAUCAGAGAUUGAAGAUCAACUUAAUGAAAUAAAGCAUGAAGACAAGAUUAGAGAAAAAAAGAAUGAAAAGGAACAAACAAAGCCUUUAAGAAAUAUGGGACUAUGUGAAAAGACCAAACCUUUUUCUUUCUUUCUUUCUUUUUUUUUUUUUUUGGAAAGAAGAAAAGAAAGAAAAAAAGGAGUGAGGGAGAGGAAGAAAGAGGAAAAAGAAGAGGGAGAGAGAAUGGGAAUAUUGUUUUAUUCUAAAAAUGGGUAUUAAUAAUGGCCAAUCAAUAUUUUGUGUAUUUAAAGUGGAGAAUGUACAUUUUGUGUAUUUAAAAUGGAGAGCUCUAUAAAUAUUUAUUAAGUUUACUUGUUCCAGAUCUGAGUUCAAGUCCUGGUUGUCCUCAUCAAUGUUCUGUCUCAUUGAGUAUAAAUCUCUUUAUGGGUCUUACGUAUCUGGGUGUUAGGAUUGUUAGCUCUUAUUGUUGCAUUGAUCCUUUUACCACUAUAUCUUUGUUGCUUUGAAAUAUAUUUUAUCAGAUGCGAGAAUUGCAACUCCUGCUUUUUAUUUAUUUAUUUUUGCUCUCCAUUUGGUUGGUAAGUCUUUCUCAAUCCCUUUGUUUUGAGUUUUUGUGUAUCUUUGGAUGUGAGAUGGGUCUGGAUGCAGCAUACCAUUAGGUUUUGGGUGUAUCUUUUGAUUGGGGGAUUUAGUCAAGACCAAACCUACAUUUGAUUUGUGUACUUGAAAGUGACAAGGAGGAUGAAACCAAGUUGGACAACAAGAUAUUACAAGAUAUUAUCCAGGAGAACUUCCCCAACCUAGCAAGAUAGGCCAACAUUCAAAUUCAGGAAAUACAGAGAACACCACAAAGACACUCCUCGAGAAGAGCAACUCCAAGACACAUAGUUGUCAGAUUCACCAAGGUUGAAAUGAAGGAAAAAAUGUUAAGGGCAGCCAGAGAGAAAGGUUGGGUUACCCACAAAGGGAAGCCCAGCAGACUAACAGUGGAUCUCUCUGCAGAAACCCUACAAGCCAGAAGAGAGUAGGGGCCUAUAUUCAACAUUCUUAAAGAAAAGAAUUUUCAAACCAGAAUUUCAUAUCCAGCCAAACUAAGUUUCAUAAGCACAGGAGAAAUAAAAUCCUUUACAGACAAGCAAAUGCUGAAAGAUUUUGUCGCCACCAGGCCUGCCUUACAAGAACUCCUGAAGGAAGCACUAAAUAUGGAAAGGAAAAUCCAGUACCAGCCACUGCAAAAACACACCAAAUUAUAAAGACCAUGGACACUAUGAAGAAACUGCAUCAACUAACAGGCAAAAUAACCAGCUAGCAUUAUAAUGACAGGGUCAAAUUCACAUAUAACAAUAUUAACCUUAAAUAUAAAUGGGUAAAUGCCCUGAUUGAAAGACACAGACUGGAAAAUUGGAUAAAGAGUCAAGACCUAUGAGUGUGCUGUAUUCAGGAGACCCAACUCAUGUGCAAAGAUACAUAUAAGCUCAAAAUAAAAGGAUGGAGCAAUAUUUAUUAAGCAAAUGGAAAACAAACGAACAAAAAAAGCAGGGGUUGCAAUCCUAGUCUCUGAUAAAACAGACCUUAAACCAACAAAGAUCAAAAAAGACAAUGAAGGGCAUUACAUAUGGUAAAGGAAUCAAUACAAUGAGAAUAGCUAACUGUCAUAAACAUAUAUGCACCCAAUGCAGGAGCACCUAGAUUUAUAAAGCCAGUUGUCCUAUCCAUGAGAAUGAAACGUUUUCCUAUUUGUUUGUGUCCUUUUUUAAUUCCUUGAGCAGUAUUUGCAGUUCUCCUUGAAGAGGUUCUUCACAUCCCUUUAAGUUGUAUUCCUAGGUAUAUUACUCUCUUUGUAGCAACUGUGAUCGGGAAUUUACUCAUGAUUUGGCUCUCUGUUAUUGGUGUAUAGGAAUGCUUGUGAUUUUUGCACAUUGAUUUUUGUAUCCUGAGACUGCUGAAGUUGCAAACUGCCCAAAGUAAUUUAUAGAUUCAUUGUUAUCCCCAUCAAGCCACCAUCGACUUUCUUUACAGAAAAUUAGAAAAAACUACUUUAAAUUAUAUAUGGAACCAAAAAAGAGCCCAUGGAGCUAAGACAAUCCUAAGCAAAAAGAACAAAGCUGGAGCCAUCACACUACCUGACUUCAAACUAUACUACAAGGGUACAGUAACCAAAACAGCAUGGUGCUGAUACCAAAACAGAUAUAUAGACCAAUGGAACAGAACACAGGCCUCAGAAAUAAUGCCACACAUCUGCAGAGAUUUCUUUUUUCUUUUAAUUUUUUUGAGAUGGAGUCUUGCUCUGCUGCCCAGGCUGGAGUGUAAUGCCAUGGUCUCAAUUCACUGCAACCUCCACCUCCUGGGUUCAAGUGAUUCUUCUGCUUCAGCCUCCCAAAUAGUUGGGAUUACAGGUGCCUUCCACCACACCCAGAUAAUUUUGUAUUUUUAGUAGAGACAGGGUUUCACUGUGUUCGCCAGGCUGGUCUUGAACUCAUAACCUUGUGAUCCACCCGCCUUGGUCUCUCACAGUGCUGGGAUUACAGGCAUGAGCCUGUAAUGCCACACAUCUACAACUAUCUGAUCUUUUACAAACCUGACAAAAACAAGCAAUGGGGAAAGGAUUCUCUAUUUAAUAAAUGGUGUUGGGAAAACUGGCUAGCCACAUGCAGAAAAUUAAAGCUGAAUCCCUUCCUUAAACCUUAUACAAAAAUUAACUAAAGAUGGAUUAAAAACUUAAAUGUAAGACCUAAAAAAAGUGGGCAAAAGACAUUUAUGUGCUCAAAAAACAUAUGAAAAAAAGCUCCUCAUCACUGGUCAUUAGAGAAAUGCAAAUCGAAACCAAAAUGAGAUACCAUCUCAUACCAGUUAGGUGAUCAUUAAAAAGUCAGGGAAACAACAGAUGCUGGAGAGACUGUGGAGAAAUAGGAAUGCUUUUACACUCUUGUGUGUGUAAAUUAGUUCAACCAUUGUGGAAGACAGUGUGGCCAUUUCUCAAGGAUCUAGAACUAGAAAUACCAUCUGACCCAGCAAUUUAUAUAUUUAUAUACCAAAAGAUUAUAAAUCCUUUUAUAAAAACACAUGCACACGUAUGUUUAUUUUGGCACUGUUCACAAUAGCAAAGACUUGGAACCAACCCAAAUGCCCAUCAGUGAUAGACUGGAUAAAGAACACGUGGAACAUAUACACCAUGGAAUACUAUGCAGUCAUAAAAAAGGAUGAGUUCAUGUCCUUUGCAGGGACAUGGAUGAAGCUGGAAACCAUCAUUCUCGGCAAACUGACACAAGAACAGAAAAUCAAACACCAUGUGUUCUCAUUCACAAGUGAGAGUUGAACAAUGAGAACACAUGAACACAGGGACACAUCACACUCCAGGACCUGUCGGGGGCUGGAGCAUAGGGGAGGGAUAGCAUUAGGAAAAAUACCUAAUGUAGAUGAUGGGUGGAUGGGUGCAGCAAACCACUAUGGCACAUUUAUAUCUACGUAACAAACCUGCACGUUCUGCACAUG
Callithrix jacchus (white-tufted-ear marmoset) is the source of this 13501-nucleotide long non-coding RNA. RefSeq lists it as uncharacterized. Lineage: Eukaryota; Metazoa; Chordata; Mammalia; Primates; Cebidae. The record is from RefSeq and is a predicted model, not a curated record.